UGAAACGAUGUAGCUGAUAUCACGCAACAGUGAAUGCAAAAUUCAACCCUAAGGUUAACAUCUAAUGACCACCUUCAAAUAACCAAUCUGAAAUCGAAAAUCAGAAAUAGGAAAAUCAGUUUAACUUACACCUUUCUCUGGUAGCCUCCGAUUAGCCUCUCCGGUGGUGCAUCAGCGGCCGACCUACCUGUUUUUUGUUCCCGUCAACACACAUCAACAUAGAGGAAUCGAGAAUCGAUAUCCCUUUUAAUGACCACCUUCAAAUAACCAAUCUGAAAUCGGAAAUCAGAAAUAGGAAAAUUAGUUUAACUUACACCUUUCUCUGGUAGCCUCCGAUUAGCCUCUCUGGUGGUGCAUCGGCGGCCGACCUCCCUGUUUUUUGUUCCCGUCAACACACAUCAACAUAGAGGAAUCGAGAAUCGGUAUCCCUUUGCAUCGUUACUUUUGAGCUGUAUAAUUUUUUUCCUUUAUAUCCGAUGUAUCACAGCACCAAAGAACCGACAACUGGUGAGAAGUUGUGUCAACGACUCUGCGA
This 535-nucleotide long non-coding RNA is filed under the name Lactuca sativa (garden lettuce). RNAcentral describes it as "long non-coding RNA (LSAT_LNC002214)". Lineage: Eukaryota; Viridiplantae; Streptophyta; Magnoliopsida; Asterales; Asteraceae. The record is from RNAcentral.